GGUUGAUCUCGGCUGCCUGCCUAUGUCAGUGCAGUGGGACAGUGGGAGUGGAUUUGUACAGCAAAACAGUUGAUCCUGAAGACCUUACAUUCAUGAUAGGCAUAUUUCAGGAGGAUUUGCUUUGGAUUAGUCUAGUCUAGUCCUGUGGAGUUCAUGUUCAUCAGUGACUGAAGUGUUGAAAGGGCACCCGUGAGAAGCUUCUUUCAGAUAAGGUCCAUUUUGAAAAGCAUUCACUUUGUGUUCUCUGAGACUGCUCAGCCAUAUGAACCAAAGCAGUGAUCUUCCAUCUGGAGGACGUUUCCUGGGACAGGGACCAGUAGUCCCCUGAGGGACCGUGUUGCCAGAAGGCUGCUGGAGGAGUUGGAGUGUGGAGGAAGCAGCUGGAAAAUAAUCCAGAUGAUGAAAAGGCUGGGCUGUGCCAAGAGCUGCUGGGGCAGAAGGAACACUGCAACAGAGCUGCCAAGUGCAUUAACAGGGUAAGGCUUCUGCAAGCUGCAAGGCAUGGAGUGGUGAAAUGUGAGUCCCCCAUUGAAGAAAAAGUUCAAGACACAGCUCUCAGUGAUGUGCGCUGCCUUUUGGGAUAGGAAAGGGGUGAUUCUUCUGGAUUUCCUGGAACACAGAACAACACCAUCAAGUCUGAUCGCUACAUCACGAUGCUGACUAAGCUGAAACCUUGAACUUUCAGAAUCAGUCCAGAGAAGAAAUCUUUCUCUUGCAACAUGACAAUGCCAGGCCCCACAUCUGUUUGAAAACCACAGAGCACAUUGCCCAUCUUGUCUGGACCAUCCUAGCACAUCCACCAUGUAGUCUGGAUUUGGCACCUUCUAAUUUCCAUCUGUUUGGGCCAAUGAAAGAUGGACUGCAUGGGCAACAUUGUCCUAGCAACAAUGCCACCAUAGCAGCUGUGAAACAGUGUGUCACCUCCGCUGGUACAGAUUUUUAAUGAACACGGAAUUCAGGCUUGUGUUCAUUGCUGGCAAAAAUACAUAGCUCAUGGUGAUGGCUAUGUUGAAAAAUAUAAUUUUGUAGCUGAGAUUUUAUUCUAUCAAGUGGUGUUAUUGUGCUCUUUGCAUCUGUUGCAGUUUACAUGCGAAUAAAUAGGAAGCAUUACUUUCGGAGCAACCUACAUAUAUCGUAUGCUUGAAAAUGUAUCUUUCUUCUAAAAACAACUAGCAAAGGAGUACAGUGGGAAGACAAUGGGAAAGCAAAUGCCUCCAAACCUAAUGUAGCAGUGAAAACAUGGAAAUAAAAAGCUUCUUGAAUGUGUUCUUAUCAUAACGUGCCUGGGAUAGCAAGUGUUUCUUUGAAAAAACACUGAAAAUACGUUUGGACAGAAGACAGAGCCAGGAAUGUGGUGUGGGACCAGUCAAAGGCAUACUGGAAUAGAAAUGUGUGCAUCGCAGAGUUGUGAUGGGCUACCACAGCUGUAAAAGAACAGUGCUGUAUCUGACUCUUCAUUCUGGUCCCACAAGAUCUUAGCUGGAUGUUGGUGGUAUUGCAGUAGAGUUUGAGCCUUCUCAUCAAUAUUCCGUUACAUUUUGUUGCCAUGUGACAGAUGGCAGCAGAGGGGCAGUCUGACAUAGUGGUGUCUAACAUGGAGUGCAUGUGAAGCAAAGAAUGAAUUUCUCCAUGCAGAAAAAACUGCACCCACUGGUAAUCAUCAACACUUGAUGAACAUUUAUGGAGACCAAGCAGUGGAUGUGAGCACAGUGAGGCGGUAGGUGGUGCAUUUCAGCAAUGGUAGCAGCAAUAGUAUGUCACCUCCGUUUGUGCAGAUUUUUAUGAGUGCAGCAUGCAGGCUCUUGUUCACUGUGGCCAAAAUGCACAGCUACUGGUGAUGACUGUGCUGGAAAUUUUUUUGUAACUGAGAAUUUGCUCUAUCAAGUGGUAUAAAUAUCAAAUGCUAUUGUGUUCUCUAUAUCCGUUGUAGUUUCCAUGGAAAUAAACAAGAGGCAUU
This is a long non-coding RNA of Gallus gallus (chicken), 1957 nucleotides long. The record is from Ensembl. NCBI's taxonomy places the organism in Eukaryota, Metazoa, Chordata, Aves, Galliformes, Phasianidae.